RNAcentral lists this ribosomal RNA (253 nucleotides) under uncultured bacterium. Its description in RNAcentral is "partial 16S ribosomal RNA". It matches the Rfam family "Bacterial small subunit ribosomal RNA", at positions 524 to 776 of the family's 1533-position model. The record is from RNAcentral.
UACGGAGGGUGCAAGCAUUAAUCGGAUUUAUUGGGCGUAAAGGGCGCGUAGGCGGACGUGUAAGUCAGAUGUGAAAUCCCGGGGCUCAACCCCGGAACAGCAUUUGAAACUGCACAUCUUGAGGGUAGGCGGAGAAAAUGGAAUUCCACAAGUAGCGGUGAAAUGCGUAGAUAUGUGGAAGAACACCAGUGGCGAAGGCGGUUUUCUAGCUUACUCCUGACGCUGAGGCGCGAAAGCAAGGGGAUCAAACAGG